UACGUAGGGUGCGAGCGUUGUCCGGAAUUAUUGGGCGUAAAGAGCUCGUAGGCGGUGUGUCACGUCGUUCGUGAAAACCUGCAGCUUAACUGUGGGCGUGCGGUCGAUACGGGCAUCACUGGAGUUCGGCAGGGGAGACUGGAAUUCCUGGUGUAGCGGUGAAAUGCGCAGAUAUCAGGAGGAACACCUGAGGUGAAGACGGGUUGCUGGGCUGACACUGACGCUGAGGCGCGAAAGCCAGGGGAGCAAACGGG
Molecule: ribosomal RNA, 254 nt
Filed under: uncultured bacterium
Lineage: Bacteria
Description: partial 16S ribosomal RNA
Rfam family: Bacterial small subunit ribosomal RNA
Source: RNAcentral